ACACACACACUGUCAAGCACACACACUAAGCGCGUUAAACUCUCUAUAAAGGCAUUUGCUUGGUAUUGGGUUUCAAUAUCUAGUUUUGUACCCAGCUCUCUUGAGGGUUGUGGAGUGUAGCUAGUAUUGAACAUGGAGAUCAAUUAUGCUCUGGCAUUGCUCUUAGUCCUCAUUCUCAACUUGGGUAGUUUGCUCACUUCUCUUGCUAACUCCUAUUGCCCACCACCAACAUACCCUCCAGUUCCUCACUUGCCACCCAAACACCCUCCCCAUGUAACUCCACCCUUCCACCCUAAACCACCAAAGAAGCCACCACCAUAUGUCAAACCACCUCAUGCAAAGCCUCCUCCUCAUGUACCAAUCAAACCCCCUCAUGUUAAACCACCCAUUGUAAAACCACCUCCUUAUCCGAAACCUCCAGUUGCCAAACCACCUCCCCAUCCCAAACCUCCUGUUGUCAAACCACCUCCCCAUCCCAAACCUCCUGUUGUCAAACCACCUCCCCAUCCCAAACCUCCUGUUGUCAAACCACCUCCCUAUCCCAAACCUCCUGUUGUCAAACCACCUCACCUAUCCCAAACCUCCUGUUGUCAAACCACCCUCCCUAUCCCAAACCUCCUGUUGUCAAACCACCUCCCUAUCCCAAACCUCCUGUUGUCAAACCACCUCACCAUCCCAAGCCUCCUGUUGUCAAACCACCUCCCCAUCCCAAACCUCCUGUUGUCAAGCCUCCAGUUGUCAAACCACCUCCCCAUCCCAAACCACCAGUUGUACUGCCUCCACCAUAUACCCCGAAGCCCCGGUUGUACUGCCUUCCACCAUAUACCCCGAAGCCCCCGGUUGUGCUGCCUCCACCAUAUACCCCGAAGCCCCCGGUUGUGGCCUCCACCAUAUCCCCCGAACCCCCCCGGUGUAUGUGCUGCCUCCACCAUAUACCCCGAAGCCCCCGGUUGUACUGCCUCCACCAUAUACCCCGAAGCCCCCGGUUGUACUGCCUCCACCAUAUACCCCGAAGCCCCCGGUUGUACUGCCUCCACCAUAUACCCCGAAGCCCCCGGUUGUACUGCCUCCACCAUAUACCCCGAAGCCCCCAGUUGUACUGCCUCCACCAUAUACCCCCAAGCCCCCAGUUGUA
RNAcentral lists this long non-coding RNA (1135 nucleotides) under Malus domestica (apple). Its description in RNAcentral is "long non-coding RNA (MDOM_LNC008047)". Lineage: Eukaryota; Viridiplantae; Streptophyta; Magnoliopsida; Rosales; Rosaceae. The record is from RNAcentral.